CCCUCCCCCCUUGCCACGGUGUGGUCCAUCCGCCUACCUCUGAAAAUCCGGAUCUUCAUGUGGCAGUGGAUUCGCGGUCGGAUCCCGUCUGGCGUUGAGGUUCGCAAACGCAAUGGUCCGGGCUCCGGUCUUUGCUCGCUUUGCGCCACCCCCGAAGACUCGAAUCACAUCUUCUUUUCCUGUGUGUCCACGCAAUUCGUGUGGAGCAGUUUCCGCGAGGUGGUGGGUGGAAAUUGGUGCCGCACCAACUUCCCAUGUAUACAGAGCUCCAGGCCUCCCCCCUGGCGUCUCGCCACAUUAGGUGCCUUGAAAUUGGGGUCAUCGCUUGGACCCUCUGGACGAUCCGUAAUAAGCUCGUGA
Molecule: ribosomal RNA, 360 nt
Filed under: Triticum aestivum (bread wheat)
Lineage: Eukaryota; Viridiplantae; Streptophyta; Magnoliopsida; Poales; Poaceae
Description: partial small subunit ribosomal RNA
Source: RNAcentral